RNAcentral lists this ribosomal RNA (253 nucleotides) under uncultured bacterium. RNAcentral's name for it is "partial 16S ribosomal RNA". It matches the Rfam family "Bacterial small subunit ribosomal RNA", at positions 524 to 776 of the family's 1533-position model. The record is from RNAcentral.
UACGGAGGGUGCGAGCGUUAAUCGGAAUUACUGGGCGUAAAGCGUGCGCAGGCGGUUUUGUAAGCCAGAUGUGAAAUCCCCGGGCUUAACCUGGGAAUGGCAUUUGGGACUGCAAGGCUUGAGUGCGGCAGAGGAGACUGGAAUUCCCGGUGUAGCAGUGAAAUGCGUAGAUAUCGGGAGGAAUACCGAUGGCGAAGGCAGGUCUCUGGGCUGACACUGACGCUCAUGCACGAAAGCGUGGGGAGCAAACAGG